GACGAACGCUGGCGGCGUGCUUAACACAUGCGAGUCGAACGGAAAGGCCCUGUCUUUGUGGGGUGCUCGAGUGGCGAACGGGUGAGUAACACGAGAGUAACCUGCCCUGGACUUUGGGAUAACUUCAGGAAACUGGGGCUAAUAUCGGAUAGGAGCUCCUGCUGCAUGGUUGGGGUUGGACAGUUUCGGCGGUUGGGGAUGGACUCGCGGCUUAUCAGCUUGUUGGUGGGGUAGGGGCUUACCAAGGCUUUGACGGGUAGCCGGCCUGAGUGGGUGAGCGGCCACAUUGGGACUGAGAUAGGGCGCAGACGCGUACGGGAGGCAGCAGUGGGGACAAUUCCACAAUAGGCGGGAGCCUGAAGCGACAACGCCGCGUGCGUGAUGACGGCCUUCGGGUUGUAAACCGCUUUCGCCUGUGACGAAGCGUGAGUGACGGUAAUGGGUAAAGAAGCACCGGCUAACUACGUG
This 468-nucleotide ribosomal RNA is filed under the name uncultured bacterium. RNAcentral describes it as "partial 16S ribosomal RNA". It matches the Rfam family "Bacterial small subunit ribosomal RNA", at positions 28 to 507 of the family's 1533-position model. The record is from RNAcentral.